Molecule: ribosomal RNA, 1435 nt
Filed under: uncultured marine bacterium
Lineage: Bacteria
Description: bacterial SSU rRNA
Rfam family: Bacterial small subunit ribosomal RNA
Source: RNAcentral
GAGUUUGAUCAUGGCUCAGAACGUACGCUGGCGGCACGCCUAACACAUGCAAGUCGAACGAAGUAGCAAUACUUAGUGGCAGACGGGUGAGUAACAUGUAGGUAUCUACCCUUUGGCCUGGAAUAACACGAGGAAACUUGUGCUAAUACCGGAUAAGUCUUAACAGAGAAAGCUUUAUGCACCAUUGGAUGAGCCUGCACUUGAUUAGUUUGUUGGUGGGGUAAUGGCCUACCAAGACUGUGAUCAAUAGCUGAUUUGAGAGGAUGAUCAGCCACAUUGGGACUGAGACACGGCCCAAACUCCUACGGGAGGCAGCAGUGGGGAAUCUUGCACAAUGGAGGAAACUCUGAUGCAGCGAUGCCGCGUGAGUGAAGAAGGCCUUUGGGUUGUAAAGCUCUUUCGUCGGGGAAGAAAAUGACUGUACCCGAGUAAGAAGGUCCGGCUAACUUCGUGCCAGCAGCCGCGGUAAUACGAAGGGACCUAGCGUAGUUCGGAAUUACUGGGCUUAAAGAGUUCGUAGGUGGUUGAAAAAGUUGGUGGUGAAAUCCCAGAGCUUAACUCUGGAACUGCCAUCAAAACUUUUCAGCUAGAGUAUGAUAGAGGAAAGCAGAAUUUCUAGUGUAGAGGUGAAGUUCGUAGAUAUUAGAAAGAAUACCAAUUGCGAAGGCAGCUUUCUGGAUCAUUACUGACACUGAGGAACGAAAGCAUGGGUAGCGAAGAGGAUUAGAUACCCUCGUAGUCCAUGCCGUAAACGAUGUGUGUUAGACGUUGGAAAUUUAUUUUCAGUGUCGCAGGGAAACCGAUAAACACACCGCCUGGGGAGUACGACCGCAAGGUUAAAACUCAAAUGAAUUGACGGGGACCCGCACAAGUAGUGGAGCAUGUGGUUUAAUUCGAAGAUACGCGCAGAACCUUACCAACACUUGACAUGUUCGUCGCAACUCUAAGAGAUUAGAGUUUUCGGUUCGGCCGGACGAAACACAGGUGCUGCAUGGCUGUCGUCAGCUCGUGUCGUGAGAUGUUGGGUUAAGUCCCGCAACGAGCGCAACCCUCACUUUUAGUUGCCAUCAUUAAGUUGGGCACUCUGAAAGAACUGCCAGUGAUAAGCUGGAGGAAGGUGGGGAUGACGUCAAGUCCUCAUGGCCCUUACGUGUUGGGCUACACACGUGCUACAAUGGUAUCUACAACAGGAAGCAAGACUGCGAAGUUAAGCAAAUCCCUAAAAGAUACCUCAGUUCGGAUUGCACUCUGCAACUCGAGUGCAUGAAGCUGGAAUUACUAGUAAUCGUGGAUCAGCGUGCCACGGUGAAUGCGUUCCCGGGUCUUGUACACACCGCCCGUCACACCAUGGGAGUUGGUUCUACCUUAAGGCAAGGUUUCAAACCCUUGACCACGGUAUAGUCAGCGACUGGGGUGAAGUCGUAACAAGGUAACC